GGCAGGCUUGAGUCUUGUAGAGGGGGGUAGAAUUCCAGGUGUAGCGGUGAAAUGCGUAGAGAUCUGGAGGAAUACCGGUGGCGAAGGCGGCCCCCUGGACAAAGACUGACGCUCAGGUGCGAAAGCGUGGGGAGCAAACAGGAUUAGAUACCCUGGUAGUCCACGCCGUAAACGAUGUCUACUUGGAGGUUGUGCCCUUGAGGCGUGGCUUCCGGAGCUAACGCGUUAAGUAGACCGCCUGGGGAGUACGGCCGCAAGGUUAAAACUCAAAUGAAUUGACGGGGGCCCGCACAAGCGGUGGAGCAUGUGGUUUAAUUCGAUGCAACGCGAAGAACC
This 336-nucleotide ribosomal RNA is filed under the name Salmonella enterica. RNAcentral's name for it is "bacterial SSU rRNA". It matches the Rfam family "Bacterial small subunit ribosomal RNA", at positions 635 to 970 of the family's 1533-position model. The record is from RNAcentral. Lineage: Bacteria; Pseudomonadati; Pseudomonadota; Gammaproteobacteria; Enterobacterales; Enterobacteriaceae. RNAcentral also lists the same sequence under 1 other name.